UAACAUAUUUUAAACCAAAAUAACUUUAUACAAGCCAUUCACUGCCUCAAAGCAAUGGUUUUGGGUUCUUAUCCCAUUUGGGACCAAAUAUCCACAAGUGUUUCUUCUCACUUCUAAACAUUCUUCAUGCAUCUCUAGCACUUGUAAUCAAUCAAAUUCAUUGUAUUAUCACAUAUUCUAACCGAAAGUAACUUUAUACAAGCCAUUCACUACCUCAAAGCAAUGGUUUUGGGUUCUUAUCCCAUUUGAGACCAAAUUUCAACAAAUUUUUCUUCUCACUUCUAAACAUUCUUCAUGCAUUUCUAGCACUUGUAAUCAAUCAAAUUCAUUGUAUUAUAACAUAUUUUAACCCAAAAUAACUUUAUACAAGCCAUUCACUGCCUCAAAGCAAUGGUUUUGGGUUCUUAUCCCAUUUGAGACCAAAUUUCAACAAGUCUU
RNAcentral lists this long non-coding RNA (438 nucleotides) under Capsella rubella. RNAcentral describes it as "long non-coding RNA (CRUB_LNC000228)". Lineage: Eukaryota; Viridiplantae; Streptophyta; Magnoliopsida; Brassicales; Brassicaceae. The record is from RNAcentral.